Molecule: ribosomal RNA, 466 nt
Filed under: uncultured bacterium
Lineage: Bacteria
Description: partial 16S ribosomal RNA
Rfam family: Bacterial small subunit ribosomal RNA
Source: RNAcentral
GAUGAACGCUGGCGGCGUGCUUAACACAUGCAAGUCGAACGGAAAGGCCCAAGCUUGCUUGGGUACUCGAGUGGCGAACGGGUGAGUAACACGUGGGUGAUCUGCCCUGCACUUCGGGAUAAGCCUGGGAAACUGGGUCUACUACCGGAUAGGACCACAUUUUGGAUGGUGUGGUGGAAAGUUUUUCGGUGUGGGAUGAGCUCGCGGCCUAUCAGCUUGUUGGUGGGGUAAUGGCCUACCAAGGCGUCGACGGGUAGCCGGCCUGAGAGGGUGUACGGCCACAUUGGGACUGAGAGACGGCCCAGACUCCUACGGGAGGCAGCAGGGGGGAAUAUUGCACAAUGGGCGCAAGCCUGAUGCAGCGACGCCGCGGGGGGGAUGACGGCCUUCGGGUUGUAAACUCCUUUCGCUAGGGACGAAGCGUUAUGUGACGGUACCUGGAGAAGAAGCACCGGCUAACUACGUG